GUACAGCUUCUGUCUUAUGUUAUAAUUUAAAACUUUGAUGCGAUCUUUAACAGAAAUACCUCAAUUGCAGGAGUGCAACAUCACAAGUAUGGAUGAUUACUGCAAUCUACACUUCCGCCACCUUGGACAGGCAGGUCCCCAAAGGCUUACAGUUAAAGCAGGUUUAGAAAGACUACCAAAGCAUUCUCAGACAUUGAUGACACAAUUGGAUGAUCUGUGUUAG
This 223-nucleotide long non-coding RNA is filed under the name Anser brachyrhynchus (Pink-footed goose). Its description in RNAcentral is "lncRNA (ENSABRG00000002190.1)". Lineage: Eukaryota; Metazoa; Chordata; Aves; Anseriformes; Anatidae. The record is from RNAcentral.